Molecule: ribosomal RNA, 433 nt
Filed under: uncultured bacterium
Lineage: Bacteria
Description: partial 16S ribosomal RNA
Rfam family: Bacterial small subunit ribosomal RNA
Source: RNAcentral
AGCGAACGCUGGCGGCAGGCCUAACACAUGCAAGUCGAACGAACCCUUCGGAGUUAGUGGCGGACGGGUGAGUAACACGUGGGAACGUGCCUUUUGGUUCGGAAUAACUCAGGGAAACUUGUGCUAAUACCGAAUGUGCCCUUCGGGGGAAAGAUUUAUCGCCAUUAGAGCGGCCCGCGUCUGAUUAGCUAGUUGGUGAGGUAACGGCUCACCAAGGCGCCGAUCAGUAGCUGGUCUGAGAGGAUGACCAGCCACACUGGGACUGAGACACGGCCCAGACUCCUACGGGAGGCAGCAGUGGGGAAUCUUGCGCAAUGGGCGAAAGCCUGACGCAGCCAUGCCGCGUGAAUGAUGAAGGUCUUAGGAUGGUAAAAUGCUUUCACCGGGGACGAUAAUGACGGUACCCGGAGAAGAAGCCCCGGCUAACUUCGUG